Long non-coding RNA from Capsicum annuum, 493 nucleotides. RefSeq lists it as uncharacterized. The transcript has 3 exons. Lineage: Eukaryota; Viridiplantae; Streptophyta; Magnoliopsida; Solanales; Solanaceae. The record is from RefSeq and is a predicted model, not a curated record.
CGACGUCACCUUGCUCUUCGUUGGGUUAGAUUUCGAUAACUUCUCCUUGCUGAUUGAGACUGUUCUUUUUACAUUAAAGGAAGCAUCUCUUACUAGAUCCGCCCUCGUGAAGAAGUAUGGAAGAAGACCUAUAUAAAAAUUAGAGAUGAAAAAGAAGCUUGGGUUAAAACACAGACAGAGGAUACUUAUUUCAGAAGCUAUUGAAGAGUUCAAAACUCAAAAGGAGUCGACCGACAAAUGAUCAAGGUAAUCCAAUCAUGACAUCAGAGGAAGAAACUCUUUCCUGCUAGCUGGAUGUAGUUGGGGGCGUGUAUAAGGGAAGGGCAUACCGCCUUUUUUCUGAGAAGAACUUUCAUCGUCUUUAGGGUGGAUUGCAAGGUAUGGGGAGUUCUGCCACCAUGUCAAAUGAGCAGCUUGAGGAGAUGCGACAGGAAGUUCGGGAGCUUGCUAGGAAGUACGAGGAGGAACGAAAAAGAAGGAUGGAGGAGGAGCG